UAAAGCGGGGAGCACACACUUUUGCAUAAGCGCAUAACCAUAAACAUAAAGAAAUUGAUUGGUCCACAAAUGUAUGCAUAAGAAAAUGAACCAAUCAAUUUCCUUAUGCUUAUUGUUAUGCGCUUAUGCAAAAGUGUGUGCUCCCCGCUUAAUCAGCCAUAUAAAAGAAGAAAAAGAUAUUUAUUUAUUUACAAAAAUAGGUUAAUCUGUAGCUACAGCUGUCAGUUGACAUGUUUCAAUGAAUAACAUUAUAUUACAUAUUUAUAAUAACUGCUAGUUUUUAAUAAAUAUGCUAAGAAAGAAGAAAAUCCAAGAACAAAAAAUAUAUCCAGAGAAAAAUUUUAAUGUUUAUGAAAAAUAUGGGGCUCAACGAAGCAAUAAUCAAGUUGCUAGAAUUAUUUAAUCCUGGCUAAUUUUGUGAUUAUUGCCAUACAACACAUCGAAUAUACUAUCAAUCAGAGCCUAAUUUAUAUGGGAUAAUUAUGGAGACGUUAAUAAAUAUCAAAAUGAUGAGUCAUCCAGUAUCUAUAUGUAGUAGCAUUUCAAGUUAUAUUGAAACAGACAUACAUGAUGAUAGAUUAUUCAUGGAUUUCUUUGAAACAAUCAUUAAUAAUUCUGAAUGUGGUUCUGGAAUGUUAUUGAAACUUAAGCUGGAACAUUUUUAUCAUAGUAAAUUUCACAAGUAAGCAAAUGUGCAUUACUAUAAUUUAUGUAUAAUUUGAUACAUUAAUAUAUAUUAAAUCUAUAUAUACAUAUAACAAAAUAUAUAAGAAUUUUUAUACAAUUAAUAUAUGAAUUUUUAUUUACAAUUGAAUUGGAAGAAACUAAAUUAAUUGUAUGCUGCUUAUUUAUGAUGUUUAUAUUUUUAAUAAAAAAAAGCUAUAAUAUUUUUUUAUUAAAAAUAUUUACUUAAAUAUGAAAAAGAAUGGAAAAAUAUGGAAAACACUAAACUAAAAAAGUUUAUCGUUUUGAUAUUAACAAUAUUAUAUAAUUAAAAAGCAAUAGAAGCUUGACAUUGAUAGUCCUUCAAGAAUUCUCUCAAUUUCGACUUUUGAAUUAUAUUUGAAUCUAAUAAUACAGCUAUAUACAAUUGCUUUUAGUUGUAAUUUUCAAAACAAUUAUGUAGCACACUCGGAUAGAGAACAAAAUUAAAUUAAAAAAUUAAUUUGGUCCAGUGUGUUAUUUUAUGUCAAUGGCUAAUUCGAUUGAUUUUCAAAAUUGUUUUAAUAUAUCAAACUUUCUAUAUAAUUUCGCCGGCGGACAAUAGCGAUCGCAGUAGCAUAAACUUUAUCGAUACAUAUGAAAUUACAAGCGUAAAAGAGGCUUGACGGCAUAAAAUUUCCGAAGCGGAAAAACAUGGGUGAAUGAAAAUCAUGUCAAGUCGUUAAUUGAAAUCGUUAAAUCCUAAACCGACAACGAAGCCGUUCUCUGCAUUCAUGUCUGUUUAUAUAAUUUAUUAGUGAAUGAUUUCAGCAAGAGACAUUAUGCAAAGUUUAUUGCUCUUGAUAAAAGAAUAAAAGAAAGGAAGACUGGAUAAUAACGAUGUAAAACAAAGUAUCGCGCGCAGAUGUGCGGUAAGAGUUUCUGAAGAGGGUUUCUGAAAAUGCGGAAAAGGCAGAAAGCAGAAAGAAAGAGAAAUAAAGACCAAUUUGUUUGGAUCUGACAAUGAGAUGCAGAUAAAAUUAAUUAUUUGUCAUCACGUUCGGAAAAUAUCACGCUGUCAUUUUAAGUAACAAAGAACAAAUUACGUACAAACAAAAAUUUUUAAACAUGCGAAAGAUAAAUUCUUUUCUGCAAGAUGAUGGAAAAGUUGAAAAAGAGAGAAUGGCACUUAAUAUAAUAAUGGCACUUAUAAUAUUGUGCGAAUAGUUUAUUUGUGAAUAAUUAAUACAAGGCUAUCAAUGAUCGUCCAUAUCCACUUUCACAAUUGCGAAAAAUCGCGAAAAAUGUUUUCCUGAAAAAAUGUGAAAGAGAAACAAAAAGUUAAGCAUACUACUAAUACAAUCUUAUAAUGAUAUUAUUAAAAAUUGUUAUUUUCUUUCUAAAAAAAUUUAGAUUACAUGGACUAUUUAAUACACAUCAGUAUCAAGUCAAGAUGUUUUAGAAACUACUUAUUAAUGAAAAAGAACAUGAUCGCCGGUCAUUAUAUGGCCUACACAUUAUAUUUAUUUAUUAUUUUAUCUGUUUUAAAAUUAUUGUCAUUAUAUUCACAUAUUAUAAAAAUUUACACAAUUAACAAAUUUAGUGAGUAAUGCAUAUUACAGCUAAUCGUCGAUUUCAAUGAUUUGUUGUCAAGGACACAACUUUGAAUAAAGUUUUGAACUUUCGAAAGGUUUUAGUCAUCGCAUCUUGUUCGCAUCAAGUUCGCAAAAAGUUAUAAAUAAAAUAAGUUAACAAAUUGAAUAUAUUUUUCUGAUUAAUUUUCUAAAUAAUAUUAAGAAAUAUAUACAUAUAUACAGAUAUAUACAGAUAUAUAUGUGUAUAUUUGUAUAUGUAUACACAUAUAUAAAUAUAUGGCAUGUGUGUAUAUUUUGUAAAGUGGAAGCGUGGAAGGGAAAGGAGCUCUUCUUCUGCCCCUACAUCUACACAAAAAAUUCUAACCCAAACUUAAUUUUAAUUUAAAAUUAGAAUUAUAAUAUAUAGGGUGUCUGGCAAAGAUUGUGAUUCACCAGAUCUCAGGUGAGGUCAGCCCUAAUGAAUAAUUAUUAAUUAGUGUUAUAAAAAACAAAUAAUAUAGUAUAUUAUAAGAAUUAAAAUAUAUAUAGCAAUGUAAAAUAAUAAUAGAUUUAUGUAUAUAGAAAAAAUUAGAAUAAGAAAAAAAUUUGAUCCAUGUUCCAAUGUCAUUUUUCUUAUUAAUAAAAUGUAGAAGACAAGCAUAAUCGAUCUGCACAUAGAGAUACGCAUGCGAGAUACGCUACAGUUUCUUUAAUCCUUUCUGAUCUCGAACUACUCUGCGAGGACGCUCUAAACAUAGUUCGCGAAAUUAGUUUGUGACUUCGUGCAGAGAUUAAACAGCAUAUCGACACCAUCCAGUACCAAUCAUCAGAGAGUUUGAUUUGGGGCAUGAUUAAACCAGAUUAAUAAGUUGCUUGAGUGCACAUUUCGCUGAACGGUCGAGUGCGUUGUAUUCGGUAGAAGAAAGUUCUUCUAUACGAAAGUUUACUCCUAUAUAUUCUAUCUUAUCUGCCCAACUAAUAAAUAGAUUUUGACUAUUUACAGUAAAGGUUGCUAAUGAAAGUUUGUAUUAUCAAUUAACUCUAUUUUAUCAUUUAUUUUUCUUAUAAACAGAAUCGUUAAAUCAAUGUUCAGCACGAACGUGCGGGUAAAUUUUUUUAUUCGUGCGUACAAAACUGUGUUCCAAUCGUUCACCGUAAAUCAGUAAAUUAUUUCAUACUUUUCAUACUCAUCUAUUAAUUGAAGAAUCAUU
Long non-coding RNA from Cataglyphis hispanica, 3427 nucleotides. RefSeq lists it as uncharacterized. Lineage: Eukaryota; Metazoa; Arthropoda; Insecta; Hymenoptera; Formicidae. The record is from RefSeq and is a predicted model, not a curated record. The transcript is spliced from 5 exons.